ACGCUCGACACCUACUGGAGGCAGCAGUGGGGAAUAUUGCACAAUGGGGGAAACCCUGAUGCAGCGACGCCGCGUGAGCGAAGAAGUAUCUCGGUAUGUAAAGCUCUAUCAGCAGGGAAGAAGAUGACGGUACCUGACUAAGAAGCACCGGCUAAAUACGUGCCAGCAGCCGAAGGUAAUCUGAGGCGGGCGUGGACGAAGGC
RNAcentral lists this ribosomal RNA (203 nucleotides) under uncultured bacterium. Its description in RNAcentral is "partial 16S ribosomal RNA". It matches the Rfam family "Bacterial small subunit ribosomal RNA", at positions 328 to 545 of the family's 1533-position model. The record is from RNAcentral.